AGCGUACACGGUGGAUGCCCUGGCAGUCAGAGGCGAUGAAGGACGUGCUAAUCUGCGAUAAGCGUCGGUAAGGUGAUAUGAACCGUUAUAACCGGCGAUUUCCGAAUGGGGAAACCCAGUGUGUUUCGACACACUAUCAUUAACUGAAUCCAUAGGUUAAUGAGGCGAACCGGGGGAACUGAAACAUCUAAGUACCCCGAGGAAAAGAAAUCAACCGAGAUUCCCCCAGUAGCGGCGAGCGAACGGGGAGGAGCCCAGAGCCUGAAUCAGUGUGUGUGUUAGUGGAAGCGUCUGGAAAGGCGCGCGAUACAGGGUGACAGCCCCGUACACAAAAAUGCACAUGCUGUGAGCUCGAUGAGUAGGGCGGGACACGUGGUAUCCUGUCUGAAUAUGGGGGGACCAUCCUCCAAGGCUAAAUACUCCUGACUGACCGAUAGUGAACCAGUACCGUGAGGGAAAGGCGAAAAGAACCCCGGCGAGGGGAGUGAAAAAGAACCUGAAACCGUGUACGUACAAGCAGUGGGAGCACGCUUAGGCGUGUGACUGCGUACCUUUUGUAUAAUGGGUCAGCGACUUAUAUUCUGUAGCAAGGUUAACCGAAUAGGGGAGCCGAAGGGAAACCGAGUCUUAACUGGGCGUUAAGUUGCAGGGUAUAGACCCGAAACCCGGUGAUCUAGCCAUGGGCAGGUUGAAGGUUGGGUAACACUAACUGGAGGACCGAACCGACUAAUGUUGAAAAAUUAGCGGAUGACUUGUGGCUGGGGGUGAAAGGCCAAUCAAACCGGGAGAUAGCUGGUUCUCCCCGAAAGCUAUUUAGGUAGCGCCUCGUGAAUUCAUCUCCGGGGGUAGAGCACUGUUUCGGCAAGGGGGUCAUCCCGACUUACCAACCCGAUGCAAACUGCGAAUACCGGAGAAUGUUAUCACGGGAGACACACGGCGGGUGCUAACGUCCGUCGUGAAGAGGGAAACAACCCAGACCGCCAGCUAAGGUCCCAAAGUCAUGGUUAAGUGGGAAACGAUGUGGGAAGGCCCAGACAGCCAGGAUGUUGGCUUAGAAGCAGCCAUCAUUUAAAGAAAGCGUAAUAGCUCACUGGUCGAGUCGGCCUGCGCGGAAGAUGUAACGGGGCUAAACCAUGCACCGAAGCUGCGGCAGCGACGCUUAUGCGUUGUUGGGUAGGGGAGCGUUCUGUAAGCCUGUGAAGGUGUGCUGUGAGGCAUGCUGGAGGUAUCAGAAGUGCGAAUGCUGACAUAAGUAACGAUAAAGCGGGUGAAAAGCCCGCUCGCCGGAAGACCAAGGGUUCCUGUCCAACGUUAAUCGGGGCAGGGUGAGUCGACCCCUAAGGCGAGGCCGAAAGGCGUAGUCGAUGGGAAACAGGUUAAUAUUCCUGUACUUGGUGUUACUGCGAAGGGGGGACGGAGAAGGCUAUGUUGGCCGGGCGACGGUUGUCCCGGUUUAAGCGUGUAGGCUGGUUUUCCAGGCAAAUCCGGAAAAUCAAGGCUGAGGCGUGAUGACGAGGCACUACGGUGCUGAAGCAACAAAUGCCCUGCUUCCAGGAAAAGCCUCUAAGCAUCAGGUAACAUCAAAUCGUACCCCAAACCGACACAGGUGGUCAGGUAGAGAAUACCAAGGCGCUUGAGAGAACUCGGGUGAAGGAACUAGGCAAAAUGGUGCCGUAACUUCGGGAGAAGGCACGCUGAUAUGUAGGUGAAGCGACUUGCUCGUGGAGCUGAAAUCAGUCGAAGAUACCAGCUGGCUGCAACUGUUUAUUAAAAACACAGCACUGUGCAAACACGAAAGUGGACGUAUACGGUGUGACGCCUGCCCGGUGCCGGAAGGUUAAUUGAUGGGGUCAGCGCAAGCGAAGCUCUUGAUCGAAGCCCCGGUAAACGGCGGCCGUAACUAUAACGGUCCUAAGGUAGCGAAAUUCCUUGUCGGGUAAGUUCCGACCUGCACGAAUGGCGUAAUGAUGGCCAGGCUGUCUCCACCCGAGACUCAGUGAAAUUGAACUCGCUGUGAAGAUGCAGUGUACCCGCGGCAAGACGGAAAGACCCCGUGAACCUUUACUAUAGCUUGACACUGAACAUUGAGCCUUGAUGUGUAGGAUAGGUGGGAGGCUUUGAAGUGUGGACGCCAGUCUGCAUGGAGCCGACCUUGAAAUACCACCCUUUAAUGUUUGAUGUUCUAACGUUGACCCGUAAUCCGGGUUGCGGACAGUGUCUGGUGGGUAGUUUGACUGGGGCGGUCUCCUCCUAAAGAGUAACGGAGGAGCACGAAGGUUGGCUAAUCCUGGUCGGACAUCAGGAGGUUAGUGCAAUGGCAUAAGCCAGCUUGACUGCGAGCGUGACGGCGCGAGCAGGUGCGAAAGCAGGUCAUAGUGAUCCGGUGGUUCUGAAUGGAAGGGCCAUCGCUCAACGGAUAAAAGGUACUCCGGGGAUAACAGGCUGAUACCGCCCAAGAGUUCAUAUCGACGGCGGUGUUUGGCACCUCGAUGUCGGCUCAUCACAUCCUGGGGCUGAAGUAGGUCCCAAGGGUAUGGCUGUUCGCCAUUUAAAGUGGUACGCGAGCUGGGUUUAGAACGUCGUGAGACAGUUCGGUCCCUAUCUGCCGUGGGCGCUGGAGAACUGAGGGGGGCUGCUCCUAGUACGAGAGGACCGGAGUGGACGCAUCACUGGUGUUCGGGUUGUCAUGCCAAUGGCACUGCCCGGUAGCUAAAUGCGGAAGAGAUAAGUGCUGAAAGCAUCUAAGCACGAAACUUGCCCCGAGAUGAGUUCUCCCUGACUCCUUGA
Molecule: ribosomal RNA, 2787 nt
Filed under: Escherichia coli
Lineage: Bacteria; Pseudomonadati; Pseudomonadota; Gammaproteobacteria; Enterobacterales; Enterobacteriaceae
Description: bacterial LSU rRNA
Rfam family: Bacterial large subunit ribosomal RNA
Source: RNAcentral